This 301-nucleotide ribosomal RNA is filed under the name uncultured bacterium. RNAcentral's name for it is "partial 16S ribosomal RNA". It matches the Rfam family "Bacterial small subunit ribosomal RNA", at positions 509 to 807 of the family's 1533-position model. The record is from RNAcentral.
CAGUAGCCGCGGGAAUACGUAGGUGGCAAGCGUUAUCCGGAAUUAUUGGGCGUAAAGCGCGCGUAGGCGGUUUUUUAAGUCUGAUGUGAAAGCCCACGGCUCAACCGUGGAGGGUCAUUGGAAACUGGAAAACUUGAGUGCAGAAGAGGAAAGUGGAAUUCCAUGUGUAGCGGUGAAAUGCGCAGAGGUAUGGAGGAACACCAGUGGCGAAGGCGACUUUCUGGUCUGUAACUGACGCUGAUGUGCGAAAGCGUGGGGAGCAAACAGGAUUAGAUACCCCCGUAGUCCCUGUCUCUUAUAC